This 163-nucleotide small RNA is filed under the name Marinomonas mediterranea. Its description in RNAcentral is "Manganese sequence". The stretch from base 1 to 137 matches the Rfam family "Manganese Mn2+ riboswitch aptamer (yybP-ykoY)". From Rfam's summary of the family: This RNA was originally discovered in E. coli during a large scale screen and was named SraF. The record is from RNAcentral. Lineage: Bacteria; Pseudomonadati; Pseudomonadota; Gammaproteobacteria; Oceanospirillales; Oceanospirillaceae.
AUCCGAAUCUUAGGGGAGUAAUCUCUUUCUUAUUUUCAUUCAAUAUUCGAUGAGAAAAGAAGGUUUUCUAUCAACAUAAUUGAGCCUCAAUGCUCAUGGUAGAAAAGCCAAUUUAGCGCACUAUCGUUAAAGCGGUUGAUGAGACUUAAGACAGACACUUGGU